GAUGAACGCUGGCGGCGUGCCUAAUACAUGCAAGUCGAGCGAAGUUUUUCUGGUGCUUGCACCGGAAAAACUUAGCGGCGAACGGGUGAGUAACACGUAAAGAACCUGCCUCAUAGACUGGGACAACUAUUGGAAACGAUAGCUAAUACCGGAUAACAGCAUUAACUGCAUGGUUGAUGUUUAAAAGUUGGUUUUGCUAACACUAUGAGAUGGCUUUGCGGUGCAUUAGCUAGUUGGUGGGGUAAAGGCCUACCAAGGCGACGAUGCAUAGCCGACCUGAGAGGGUGAUCGGCCACACUGGGACUGAGACACGGCCCAGACUCCUACGGGAGGCAGCAGUAGGGAAUCUUCCGCAAUGGGCGAAAGCCUGACGGAGCAACGCCGCGUGAGUGAAGAAGGAUUUCGGUUCGUAAAGCUCUGUUGUUAGGGAAGAAUGAUUGUGUAGUAACUAUACACAGUAGAGACGGUACCUAACCAGAAAGCCACGGCUAACUACGUGCCAGCAGCCGCGGUAAUACGUAGGUGGCAAGCGUUGUCCGGAAUUAUUGGGCGUAAAGCGCGCGCAGGUGGUUUAAUAAGUCUGAUGUGAAAGCCCACGGCUCAACCGUGGAGGGUCAUUGGAAACUGUUAAACUUGAGUGCAGGAGAGAAAAGUGGAAUUCCUAGUGUAGCGGUGAAAUGCGUAGAGAUUAGGAGGAACACCAGUGGCGAAGGCGGCUUUUUGGCCUGUAACUGACACUGAGGCGCGAAAGCGUGGGGAGCAAACAGG
This 768-nucleotide ribosomal RNA is filed under the name uncultured bacterium. RNAcentral describes it as "bacterial SSU rRNA". It matches the Rfam family "Bacterial small subunit ribosomal RNA", at positions 28 to 776 of the family's 1533-position model. The record is from RNAcentral.